RNAcentral lists this ribosomal RNA (490 nucleotides) under uncultured bacterium. Its description in RNAcentral is "partial 16S ribosomal RNA". It matches the Rfam family "Bacterial small subunit ribosomal RNA", at positions 30 to 507 of the family's 1533-position model. The record is from RNAcentral.
AUUGAACGCUGGCGUCAGGCCUAACACAUGCAAGUCGAACGGUAACAGGAAACAGCUUGCUGUUUCGCUGACGAGUGGCGGACGGGUGAGUAAUGUCUGGGAAACUGCCUGAUGGAGGGGGAUAACUACUGGAAACGGUAGCUAAUACCGCAUAACGUCGCAAGACCAAAGAGGGGGACCCUCGGGCCUCUUGCCAUCGGAUGUGCCCAGAUGGGAUUAGCUUGUUGGUGGGGUAACGGCUCACCAAGGCGACGAUCCCUAGCUGGUCUGAGAGGAUGAUCAGCCACACUGGAACUGAGACACGGUCCAGACUCCUACGGGAGGCAGCAGUGGGGAAUAUUGCACAAUGGGCGCAAGCCUGAUGCAGCCAUGCCGCGUGUAUGAAGAAGGCCUUCGGGUUGUAAAGUACUUUCAGCUGGGAGGAAGGGAGUAAAGUUAAUACCUUUGCUCAUUGACGUUACCCGAAGAAGAAGCACCGGCUAACUCCGUG